Molecule: ribosomal RNA, 253 nt
Filed under: uncultured bacterium
Lineage: Bacteria
Description: partial 16S ribosomal RNA
Rfam family: Bacterial small subunit ribosomal RNA
Source: RNAcentral
GACAGAGGGUGCAAACGUUGCUCGGAAUUACUGGGCGUAAAGCGCGUGUAGGCUGACCGGAAAGUCGGGCGUGAAAGCCCUGGGCUCAACCCAGGAACUGCACUCGAAACUCCCGGUCUAGAGUGGUGGAGAGGGAAGUGGAAUUCCUGGUGUAGAGGUGAAAUUCGUAGAUAUCAGGAGGAACACCAGUGGCGAAGGCGGCUUCCUGGACAACAACUGACGCUGAGACGCGAAAGCGUGGGGAGCAAACAGG